GACGAACGCUGGCGGCGUGCUUAACACAUGCAAGUCGAACGGAAAGGCCCUGCUUUUGUGGGGUGCUCGAGUGGCGAACGGGUGAGUAACACGUGAGUAACCUGCCCUUGACUUUGGGAUAACUUCAGGAAACUGGGGCUAAUACCGGAUAGGAGCUCCUGCUGCAUGGUGGGGGUUGGAAAGUUUCGGCGGUUGGGGAUGGACUCGCGGCUUAUCAGCUUGUUGGUGGGGUAGUGGCUUACCAAGGCUUUGACGGGUAGCCGGCCUGAGAGGGUGACCGGCCACAUUGGGACUGAGAUACGGCCCAGACUCCUACGGGAGGCAGCAGUGGGGAAUAUUGCACAAUGGGUGGAAGCCUGAUGCAGCACCGCCGUGUGCGGGAUGACGGCCUUCGGGUUGUAAACCGCUUUCGCUCAUGACGAAGCUUUGUGUGACGGUAGUGGGUAAAGAAGCACCGGCUAACUACGUG
Molecule: ribosomal RNA, 469 nt
Filed under: uncultured bacterium
Lineage: Bacteria
Description: partial 16S ribosomal RNA
Rfam family: Bacterial small subunit ribosomal RNA
Source: RNAcentral